This 260-nucleotide ribosomal RNA is filed under the name uncultured bacterium. RNAcentral's name for it is "partial 16S ribosomal RNA". It matches the Rfam family "Bacterial small subunit ribosomal RNA", at positions 1232 to 1500 of the family's 1533-position model. The record is from RNAcentral.
GGGCGGCACAGCGGGAAGCCAGGUGGUGACACCGAGCAGAACCCGAAAGCCGUUCUCAGUUCGGAUCGGAGUCUGCAACCCGACUCCGUGAAGCUGGAUUCGCUAGUAAUCGCGCAUCAGCCAUGGCGCGGUGAAUACGUUCCCGGGCCUUGUACACACCGCCCGUCAAGCCAUGGGAGCCGGGGGCGCCUGAAGUCCGGGACCGCGAGGACCGGCCUAGGGCGAAACUGGUAACUGGGGCUAAGUCGUAACAAGGUACC